ACAUGUCCUGCACCACCCUAACAUACUUUUCAGCUACACCUGACUUCCUCAUACAGUACCACAGAUUCUGGAGCGGAGUAAAUGUGUGUCCUGCUCUGUUUCUCUGAUUUCAGGUUCCAGCUGUGACCUGCAGGAGACAUGAGCUCCACAAUGAGUUCCUCUGAAGAAGAACAGCACACAGAGAGAGAGAAGAGUGGGAAUCAGACGGAGAAACCAGACUCACCUGAGCCCAGCUGUGUGUCCAUGAGGAGUGAUGACUCAAUGGAGAAAUUAUUAAACUUCAGAGAGGGAGACAGUUCUCCUGCUGUGAGUGGGAAUCAGAUGGAGAAACCAGACCCACCUGAGCCCAGCUGUGUGUCCAUGAGGAGUGAUGACUCAAUGGAGAAAUUAUUAAACUUCAGAGAGGGAGACAGUUCUCCUGCUGUGAGUGUUCAAAAGGAAAAAUCAAAAGUCUCCACCAGGCAUAAUUUGGAUUCCAUAUUUAAGGAUCUGGAGCACAAAAUAAUCUCUCUGGUGAAGAAAGAGCUGAAGAGGUUCAAGAAGCUGCUGAGUGCAGAUUACCCAGCAUGCUCUGAGAGAGAGGUGGAGGCUGAGGAGGAUCAGAGCAGUUCCAGAGAGGAGGUGCUGAAGAUCACACUGAACAUGCUGAGGAACAUGGAGCAGACAGACCUCGCUAACACCCUACAGAGCAAGCCGAUUUCUGCACAUCAGAAAAAAAUACAAAUCAACCUGAAGGAGAAAUAUAUGAGAAUUAAUGAAGGAAUCUCACAGUAUGGAACACCAGUCCUUCUGAAUGAGAUCUACACAGAGCUGUACACCACAGAGGGAGGGAGUGGAGAGGUCAAUGAAGAACAUGAGGUCAGACAGAUUGAGGCAGCAUCCAGGAGACCAGCAACACAGAAGAAACCCAUCAAAUGUAAUGACCUCUUUAAAGACAGACCCAUCAGAACUGUGCUGACUAAAGGAGUUGCUGGAAUUGGAAAAACAGUCUCAGUGCAGAAGUUCAUUCUGGACUGGGCCGAAGGAAAAGCAAACCAGGACAUCCUCUUCAUAUUUCCACUUCCUUUCAGGGAGCUGAACUUGAUCAAGAACAAAAAGCUUAGUCUGAUUGAACUUCUGAAUGACUUUUUACCAGACAGAAAAUUAUUACAAUCAAUAGACUUUGAAUCUUACAAAGUCUUGUUCAUCUUUGAUGGUCUGGAUGAGUGUCGACUUCCUCUAGAUUUCCAGAACAAUGAGAGCCUCUGGGAUGUAACAGAUUCAGCCUCAGUGGAUGUGCUGCUGACAAACCUCAUCAAGGGGAACUUGCUUCCCUCGGCUCUCCUCUGGAUAACCUCUCGACCAGCAGCAGCCAAUCAGAUCCCUCCUGAGUGUGUUGACCUGGUAACAGAGGUACGAGGGUUCAGUGAUGCUCAGAAAGAGGAAUACUUCAGGAAGAGAAUCAGUGACCAGAGCCUGGCCAAUAAAAUCAUCUCACACAUGAGAUCCUCAAGAAGCCUCUACAUCAUGUGCCACAUCCCAGUCUUCUGCUGGAUUGCAGCCACUGUUCUAGAGAGAGUUUUGGGUGGAGCAGAGAGUGGAGAGAUCCCCAAGACUCUGACUCAGAUGUUCACCCACUUCCUGAUCUUUCAGAUCAAACACAAGGACCAAAAGUACCAUAGGAAAUGUGACCCUGAUCUUCAGCAGACCAGAGAGAUGAUUCUGGCCCUGGGAAAACUGGCUUUCCAACAGCUGGAAAAGGGCAAUCUGAUCUUCUAUGAGGAAGACCUGAGAGAGUGUGGCAUUGAUGUCAGAGAAGUGUUAUUGUAUUCAGGAGUUUGUACCCAGAUCUUCAGAGAGGAGUUUGGGCUGCACCUGGGGAAGGUGUUCAGCUUUGUGCACCUGAGUGUUCAGGAGUUUAUGGCUGCUUUAUAUGCAUUUCUCUCCUUCAUCAGUGGAGAAAGAACAAAACAGCUGAACACUGAUCUUUGUGAUAUUUUCCAACAGUCCGAACUGUCAGACUUCCUGAAGUCUGCAUUGGACAAGGCCUUAAAGAGUGAGAAUGGACACCUGGACCUUUUCCUUCAGUUCCUUCUGGGCCUCUCACUGGAGUCCAAUCAGACUGUCUUACGAGGCCUACUAACCCAGACAGGAAGCAGCUCUCACAGCAAAGAGGAAACAGUCCAGUACAUCAAGGAGAAGAUCAGGGCGAAUCCCUCUCCAGAGAAAUCCAUCAAUUUGUUCCACUGUCUGAAUGAACUGAAUGAUCAUUCUCUACAGCAGGAAGUUCAGUCAUACCUGAACAGAGGAGAAUACUUUAGUCUCCGAGGACUCUCCCUCUCUCCUGCCCAGUGGUCAGCUCUGGUGUUUGUGUUGCUGAACUCAGAAAAAGAGCUUGAUGUGUUUGACUUACGUAAAUAUGGCAGGUCAGAGGAAUAUCUUAUGCAGUUGCUGCCAGUGGUCAAAGCAUCAAGAAAAGCUAUGCUUUUUGACUGUAGCCUCACAGAGAAAAGCUGUGAAGCUCUGUCUUCAGUUCUCAGUGCAAACUCCUCAUGUCUGAGAGAACUGGACGUCAGUAGAAACAAACUGCAGGAUUCAGGAGUGGAGCUGCUCUUAGCUGGACUGAAGAAUCCAAACUGCAAACUGGAGAAACUGGAGCUGCACAGGUGUAAUCUCACAGAGAAAAGCUGUGCAGCUCUGUCCUCAGCUCUCAGCUCAAACUCUUCAAGUCUGAGAAAACUGGACCUGAGUCAUAACAAACUGCAGGAUUCCGGAGUGGAGCUGCUCUCUGCUGGACUGGAGAAUCCACACUGUAAACUGGAGAUACUGAAAUUGGAAAGAUGCAGAAUUACAAAGAAGGGCUACACUUAUCUGGCUUCAGGGCUUAAAUCAAACCCCUCUCACUUGAGAGAGCUGAACUUGAACUCUAAUCAACCAGGACAGUCAGGAGUGAGUGUUCUCAUUAAUGUACUGGAGGAUCCACGUUGCAAAUUGGAAAAACUAAACAUGUGUAACUGUAAUCUCACAGAGGAAACCUGUUCAGCUCUGUUGUCAGCUCUCAGCUUCUUAAGUCUGAGAGAACUGAACCUGAGUAACAAUAAACUGCUGCAGGAUUCAGGAGUGGUGCUGCUCUCGACUGCACUAAAGAAACCACACUGUAAAUUGGAGACACUGAAGAUACAUGGUUGUAAUAUCACAGAGAAAGGCUGUGCAGCUCUGUCCUCAGCUCUCAGCUCUUCAAAUCUAAGAGAACUGGACCUGAAUAACAAUAACCUGCAGGAUUCAGGAGUGAAGCUGCUCUCUGCCGGACUGGAGAAUCCACACUGUAAACUGGAGAUACUGGAGUGUUUUCUUCUUUUCUCUGCAGGCUGUGUAAAUGUAAAAUUACAGUUGAGGGCUGUGCUGCUCUGGCUUCAGCUCUAAAAUCAAACCCCUCCUCCCAGCUGAGAAAAAUUAAUCUAAACUGUAAUAAUCCAAGAAAGUCAGGAGUGAAGCUGCUCUCUGAUCUACUGGAGGAUCCAUACUGUAAACUGGAGGAAUUAGACAUCUGAACACCAUCCGCCUGAUCUGCUCUCCCACACAGAGGGCUAUGAGGAGAGGAUGAAGUACAAACGCACGGUGUAUGGUUCUACCUGAGUGUCUGAUUUUGCAUGAAAGUGAAGGAACAAUUGCGACAGGCUCAAAGUGAAAGGUGUACAAAUUUAUUUUCAAUGAAAUGCAAAAUGAGUUUUAAAGUUAUAGACAGAAUUACUGGUUGCAUAAUUAAUUAUACCACAUCAUCACGCCAUCUAAAAUUAGAAACUACCCAUUUCAAGCAUUCCAAAAUGAAAAUGUCAUAUUCAAAGAAAACAUUGCUUUUUAAAGUGUAUCCUAGACAGGGUCGUCGGACCCAUGGUGGAGGGGGGGGCAUUCGCCCCACCGCUUUUCAAAGAACUGUGGCAACGCCCAACUACUGUUUGAGUUCAGUUUGUUCAUGUGCUUUCACUAAACUGUAUGAAGCGCUGAUCAGCGUGAGCAGGCAGAGUAAAACUGAGCGGCAGAGCCAAUCAGAAUCUCUAUUUUAGCUGCGAGAUGCUUUCAGACCUCCAAUAACAUCUGUCUGCAGAGCUGCAGCUUCACUCAAGCAGGCCCAAAGCCAAAGGCAUUCAGAGCAUGUGGCCACACCUGUUUUCAUUGUUAUGUUUUAUGUGGGUUUCCAGUACAUGUGUGAGACAUUUGCAUUGGGCUAAUGUUAUGUUUUAAGUUUUAGGCUAAAACAGACUUUGGUUUGAAUACAUAUAAAGAUUUAUAGGGUAAAUAUUACACAAACUAUAGCUUAUUUAGCCUGGGUAAGCUAAUGGGUUAUGUAGACAUAUGGCUCAAUUUACUUACUCUUGAUAUGGGGGCUUUAUUUGUUCACUUACAUUACAUGCACAGGAAUAAAAGUUUACCUUAAGCAGCUUAAUCUGAGCAUAAUAUUCAUCUUUUGGCUUUAAUAAACCAAUGUUUGAAUGUAAUUUUGAAUGCUGAAAAAAAUAUAGAAACCAUUGUAUUUCUCCUGGUUUCUGACAUUUUUGUAAUGUAUUUUGGCUUUGGGUUUAACCGGUUACCAGUGGUUGAUUCAUAUAUUGGUAACGGUCUCCCUUCCUGAAUGGUAAUGUUCAUAGUGACACAUACAACCAGCACAAACAGUCGCUGUUUACAUCAGAGAUGUUACAAAUGGGGAGACCGGCAACUGGUUGAAAUUUGAAUUGGGACGCUCGCAUGUCCUACUGCGCAUGCUUUCCACUGGCCUGAAGCCGCUGGAGUGAAACUGCGGGUGUAAAUCUGCAGCUCUGACGUCAAAAACCUCUUUUCAGACCUGCCUUGGUUGGUGCGAACCUGUAGAACUGGUUUUGACAUGCGAACACAAAACAACUGAACUGUCCUAAUUCAGGAGGGAAUUCAACACCAGAGCACAUUUUCUCUGUGCUGUCUGCACAACGUUUACUACUGAUUCACCAUUUCAAUUAAAUAACAAAAGACAAGCAAAAAAAUGACAUGCGUUUGAUUGUGGAUUAUGGAGAACAUUUUGGCCAAACAUCAGCAACCAUCAGUAAUUAUUUAGCAGCAUUUAGCCAGCAAAUUAUUUUAUUUAUUUUUUUUUUUUUUGAAACAAUGUUUUGCCCCACAACUCUUGGAGGUGUGGCACCACCCAUGAUCCUAGAUAAUGUUUCUCAACAUCUUAAAACAUUAGAGAGCAUUUCUUCCAAAAAGUGAAAUGCCUACUUAGUAUUUAACAAUUACUAGAGAAAUUCCAGUCCUGCAUAGCCAAAGUACAGACACAGCAUUGGUCCAUGUUAUGAAUGAGCUGAAUAUUGAUUGAUCCGGUAUGUAACAUUACUAUUCAUUCAGGUGUGCUCCCCAUUGUGUUCAGUCUCACUUCUGAAUUAUAUGAAGUUAAUAUCUGAUGCUAAAAUGUGUUAGAUAUCAAACAUUUUUCCACUAUAAUAAUUUAUCUUUUCAAAUAUUUUUUAAAUGAACUUUUUAAAAAUGUAACCCUGUUGUAUUUAAGCCUAAAGUUACUGACUAUGCUUAUAUUUAUAUUUUUGACUGUAACUUGGUGAUGGUUUUCAUUGUUAUCAACUAAGGUAUAUGCACAGAUUCACCACAAUCACAGCUUUAAUAACAAUAAGCCACUUUAUGAAUUCUAUUGAUUAUUAAUUAAUUAAUAAUUCAUAAUUAAUCAAUUAAUAAGACCCUGGUUUUAGUGACCAGUGCACUAUUGGAUGUAUUAGAAAUAUAAUUAUAAUAAAGUCAGGCUGUCAGACGGUGAUUAGAAGUAAUUCUAAACAUUAUUCUUUGAUAUGGGACUCACUUCUGAAAUCCCAGAUUUCGACUUAGACUUAGACAAUUUUAGCAAAACUUUCCUGGUGGUCAUAAACAAGCACGGCAUUUCUAAAACUGUUCGAAUCGGAGAUGGAUCAAAUGCCUGGUCCGGUUCAAUGCAAGAAAUAAAGCAUGGGCCCUCACAACAAGAAAUGGUGACAGAGACCAAUGGCUUGCCUGCAGGCAGCUAGGGAACAAAUAUACUCACUACAUCAGGAAAACUAAAGCAGAAUAUUGUGGAAUAUCCAUUUUUAAUAUUUUAAUGCUAUCACUCUUUGAUUUGUGGUGUAUUACUCUUAUAUUUUAUUGCUGUUAAUCAGUUUACUCUGAAUUAGAUUUCUUUUUUUACUCUUAA
This is an RNA transcript of Pygocentrus nattereri (red-bellied piranha), 6181 nucleotides long. It is a transcript of the gene named NACHT, LRR and PYD domains-containing protein 12-like, with no coding region annotated. The transcript has 13 exons. Lineage: Eukaryota; Metazoa; Chordata; Actinopteri; Characiformes; Serrasalmidae. The record is from RefSeq and is a predicted model, not a curated record.